RNAcentral lists this ribosomal RNA (500 nucleotides) under uncultured bacterium. RNAcentral's name for it is "partial 16S ribosomal RNA". It matches the Rfam family "Bacterial small subunit ribosomal RNA", at positions 30 to 523 of the family's 1533-position model. The record is from RNAcentral.
AUUGAACGCCGGCGGAAUGCUUUACACAUGCAAGUCGAACGGCAGCACGGACUUCGGUCUGGUGGCGAGUGGCGAACGGGUGAGUAAUGUAUCGGAACGUGCCCAGUCGUGGGGGAUAACGUAGUGAAAAUUACGCUAAUACCGCAUACGAUCUAUGGAUGAAAGCGGGGGAUCGCAAGAGCUCGCGCGAUUGGAGCGGCCGAUAUCAGAUUAGGUAGUUGGUGGGGUAAAGGCCCACCAAGCCAACGAUCUGUAGCUGGUCUGAGAGGACGACCAGCCACACUGGAACUGAGACACGGUCCAGACUCCUACGGGAGGCAGCAGUGGGGAAUUUUGGACAAUGGGCGAAAGCCUGAUCCAGCCAUUCCGCGUGCAGGAUGAAGGCCCUCGGGUUGUAAACUGCUUUUGUACAGAACGAAAAGGUUUCUACUAAUACUAGGAGCUCAUGACGGUACUGUAAGAAUAAGCACCGGCUAACUACGUGCCAGCAGCCGCCGUAA